This 241-nucleotide non-coding RNA is filed under the name Bacillus sp. (in: firmicutes). Its description in RNAcentral is "Bacillus sp. T-box sequence". It matches the Rfam family "T-box leader". From Rfam's summary of the family: Uncharged tRNA acts as the effector for transcription antitermination of genes in the T-box leader family. T-boxes are found upstream of many aminoacyl-tRNA synthetase genes and some amino acid biosynthetic genes usually in Gram-positive bacteria. The anticodon of a specific tRNA base pairs to a specifier sequence within the T-box motif, and the NCCA acceptor tail of the tRNA base pairs to a conserved bulge in the T-box antiterminator hairpin. Lineage: Bacteria; Bacillati; Bacillota; Bacilli; Caryophanales; Bacillaceae. The record is from RNAcentral.
UAUAAAUCGAUGAAGAGAAAAAGUACGUAAGGAUUGAACUCUUGAAGCGAGCUGGGUAUGGUGAAAGCCAGUGAGGAAGCCGAACGGAAAAAUCAUCUCUGAGAUGCAAGGCUGAAAUUAUUAAGUAAGUCUUGACGGGAGUCCGCCGUUACAAGGAACGCGUAUGAUAGUACGUUGACAAGUGCUGUUUGUAAUAAGCAGAAUUUGGGUGGUAACGCGGGUUAAUACACUCGUCCCUAUU